Molecule: ribosomal RNA, 999 nt
Filed under: Triticum aestivum (bread wheat)
Lineage: Eukaryota; Viridiplantae; Streptophyta; Magnoliopsida; Poales; Poaceae
Description: partial small subunit ribosomal RNA
Source: RNAcentral
AUGGCCGGCAGCAUUUACUCCUUGCAUGCAUGCAGAGAGCCGUUAGACGUGCUUCACCUCGCCUCCUCGUCCUUUCUUCUCCCCCGAGUCUUCUUUAUAUUCCUUCCCUUCUCAACGAGAGCCAUUUCCACUUUGCCAUCUCUCUUCAUCAUGGAUCAAGCUCUUGCCACAAAUGUCUUGGAAGAGCCAGCUGCUACAUUUACCUCUGCGUCCGCCGCGCGCGCGUACGCGGCCAUGUCGUCGUCGGUUGUAGCUUCGCAAGCUGCUGAGUUUACCUCCGCGUCCGCGUGCGCGUGCACGUCCAUGUCGUCGUCCGCCGGAUCUUGGCCAGCUGCUGCGUUUAGCUCCGCGUCCGCCGCGUGCGCAUGCGUGGCCAUGUCGACGUCGGACGUAGCUUGGCAAGCUGCGGAGGUUACCUCCGCAUCUGCCGCGUGCGCGUGUGCGUGGACAUCCAUGUCGUCGUCCGCCGAAUCUUGGCCAGCUGCUGAGUUUAGCUCCGCGUCCGCCGCGUUCACGUUCGCCUCUGUGUCCGCCACCAGUGGGUUCGCCCCCACGUCCGGUGAACAUGGCAGGGGUGCCAUCACCAGCAUGCAUGGCGCUAUGAUGGUUGACGCGGCCAGCGCCAAUGUCAAUCGGCUGGUUAAGCUUGACAACGACGACGAUAAGAUCAUCGACUCAGAUGCUGAGACCUUCGAUCCAGAUGCUGAGACCAAAGACGCCGAAGAAGUGGACAUUAACAAAUCUGUAGUGGUGUCACCCAUGCGCAAGUUGAACAAGAUGCCGCAGUGGCAAGGUACACGAUCCUUGCGUGCACUAUCCAGGUGGCUAGAAGAGGACAUCGUUUCUGAUGAGAGCGCGGUCGACGACGAUGACAAGGUAAGCACGGCGUCGACGGCGACAGACCCACUUGCGUGGAUGGAGCACGUGGUGGACGACCCGGAGAAAGACUUUGCAAUUGCACGGGCAAAGCUUUGCACCGGUCUCGCACGCGAUGAGUAG